Molecule: ribosomal RNA, 1369 nt
Filed under: uncultured bacterium
Lineage: Bacteria
Description: bacterial SSU rRNA
Rfam family: Bacterial small subunit ribosomal RNA
Source: RNAcentral
GACGAACGCUGGCGGCGUGCCUAAUACAUGCAAGUAGAACGCUGAAGAGAGGAGCUUGCUCUUCUUGGAUGAGUUGCGAACGGGUGAGUAACGCGUAGGUAACCUGCCUUGUAGCGGGGGAUAACUAUUGGAAACGAUAGCUAAUACCGCAUAACAAUGGAUGACACAUGUCAUUUAUUUGAAAGGGGCAAUUGCUCCACUACAAGAUGGACCUGCGUUGUAUUAGCUAGUAGGUGAGGUAACGGCUCACCUAGGCGACGAUACAUAGCCGACCUGAGAGGGUGAUCGGCCACACUGGGACUGAGACACGGCCCAGACUCCUACGGGAGGCAGCAGUAGGGAAUCUUCGGCAAUGGGGGCAACCCUGACCGAGCAACGCCGCGUGAGUGAAGAAGGUUUUCGGAUCGUAAAGCUCUGUUGUAAGUCAAGAACGAGUGUGAGAGUGGAAAAUUCACACUGUGACGGUAGCUUACCAGAAAGGGACGGCUAACUACGUGCCAGCAGCCGCGGUAAUACGUAGGCCCCGAGCGUUGUCCGGAUUUAUUGGGCGUAAGGCGAGCGCAGGCGGUUUGAUAAGUCUGAAGUUAAAGGCUGUGGCUCAACCAUAGUUCGCUUUGGAAACUGUCAAACUUGAGUGCAGAAGGGGAGAGUGGAAUUCCAUGUGUAGCGGUGAAAUGCGUAGAUAUAUGGAGGAACACCGGUGGCGAAAGCGGCUCUCUGGUCUGUAACUGACGCUGAGGCUCGAAAGCGUGGGGAGCGAACAGGAUUAGAUACCCUGGUAGUCCACGCCGUAAACGAUGAGUGCUAGGUGUUGGAUCCUUUCCGGGAUUCAGUGCCGCAGCUAACGCAUUAAGCACUCCGCCUGGGGAGUACGACCGCAAGGUUGAAACUCAAAGGAAUUGACGGGGGCCCGCACAAGCGGUGGAGCAUGUGGUUUAAUUCGAAGCAACGCGAAGAACCUUACCAGGUCUUGACAUCCCGAUGCUAUUUCUAGAGAUAGAAAGUUACUUCGGUACAUCGGUGACAGGUGGUGCAUGGUUGUCGUCAGCUCGUGUCGUGAGAUGUUGGGUUAAGUCCCGCAACGAGCGCAACCCCUAUUGUUAGUUGCCAUCAUUCAGUUGGGCACUCUAGCGAGACUGCCGGUAAUAAACCGGAGGAAGGUGGGGAUGACGUCAAAUCAUCAUGCCCCUUAUGACCUGGGCUACACACGUGCUACAAUGGUUGGUACAACGAGUUGCGAGUCGGUGACGGCAAGCUAAUCUCUUAAAGCCAAUCUCAGUUCGGAUUGUAGGCUGCAACUCGCCUACAUGAAGUCGGAAUCGCUAGUAAUCGCGGAUCAGCACGCCGCGGUGAAUACGUUCCCGGGCCU